This 72-nucleotide transfer RNA is filed under the name Nippostrongylus brasiliensis. It matches the Rfam family "tRNA". From Rfam's summary of the family: Transfer RNA (tRNA) molecules are approximately 80 nucleotides in length. Their secondary structure includes four short double-helical elements and three loops (D, anti-codon, and T loops). Further hydrogen bonds mediate the characteristic L-shaped molecular structure. tRNAs have two regions of fundamental functional importance: the anti-codon, which is responsible for specific mRNA codon recognition, and the 3' end, to which the tRNAs corresponding amino acid is attached (by aminoacyl-tRNA synthetases). tRNAs cope with the degeneracy of the genetic code in two manners: having more than one tRNA (with a specific anti-codon) for a particular amino acid; and 'wobble' base-pairing, i.e. permitting non-standard base-pairing at the 3rd anti-codon position. The record is from Rfam by way of RNAcentral. Lineage: Eukaryota; Metazoa; Nematoda; Chromadorea; Rhabditida; Heligmosomidae.
GUCUUAGUAGCAUAGUGGUUAGUGCACAGCUUCGGGAAAGUUGAGACGCGGGUUCGAUUCCCGCCCAAGAUG